Molecule: long non-coding RNA, 481 nt
Filed under: Capsicum annuum
Lineage: Eukaryota; Viridiplantae; Streptophyta; Magnoliopsida; Solanales; Solanaceae
Description: long non-coding RNA (CANN_LNC017744)
Source: RNAcentral
CGUGAGCUUCUACCUGAAUAUGAAACAGAAAUGACACCAAAUUUUGUGAAGGAAGAAAUGAGAAAGAGAUAUGGACUGAACAUUAGUUACCACAAAGCAUGGCGUUCAAUACAAUUAGCUUUUGAUGUGAAAAAUGGAAGUCCUGAACAGAACAAUGAAUUGCUUCUGUCUGAACAAGAACAGAACAAUGAAUUACUUCUGUCUGAACCAGAACAGAACUUUGAAUUGCAUCCAUUUGAACCAGAACAGAACAAGGAAUUGCUUCCAUUUGAACCAGACCAGAACAAUGAACUGCAUCAAUCUGAACCAGAACAGAGCAAUGCAUUGCUUCCGUCUGAGCCAGAACAGAAGAAAGAACUGCUUCCAUCUGAACCAGAACAGCACAAUGAAUUGCAGCUGUCUGAACCAGAAAUGAAGAAAAAAUUGGUUGUGUCUGAACCAGUACAGAACAAUGAAUUGCUUCAAUCUGAACCAGAACAGA